Molecule: ribosomal RNA, 503 nt
Filed under: uncultured bacterium
Lineage: Bacteria
Description: partial 16S ribosomal RNA
Rfam family: Bacterial small subunit ribosomal RNA
Source: RNAcentral
AUUGAACGCUGGCAGCAGGCUUAACACAUGCAAGUCGAGCGGGGUGAUGGUGCUUGCACUAUCACUUAGCGGCGGACGGGUGAGUAAUGCUUAGGAAUCUGCCUAUUAGUGGGGGACAACAUCUCGAAAGGGAUGCUAAUACCGCAUACGUCCUACGGGGGAAAGCAGGGGAUCACUUGUGACCUUGCGCUAAUAGAUGAGCCUAAGUCGGAUUAGCUAGUUGGUGGGGUAAAGGCCUACCAAGGCGACGAUCUGUAGCGGGUCUGAGAGGAUGAUCCGCCACACUGGGACUGAGACACGGCCCAGACUCCUACGGGAGGCAGCAGUGGGGAGUAUUGGACAAUGGGGGGAACCCUGAUCCAGCCAUGCCGCGUGUGUGAAGAAGGCCUUAUGGUUGUAAAGCACUUUAAGCGAGGAGGAGGCUCUUUUGGUUAAUACCCAAGAUGAGUGGACGUUACUCGCAGAAUAAGCACCGGCUAACUCUGUGCCAGCCGCCGCGGUAA